AGCAUUUAAGUAUUGGUCUAAGCAUAGAAUAAGCAGCGGCCAACUUCUUUUCUCUUGUGGCUGCUAAGAUAAGCGCAUCGCUCGCGGUUAAACUCCAGUAUAUAUUUAACCCCCGGGAAAAAAAAAAAGACACGUGGUGGGGAAUUUCCACAUAAGUUUCCCAAAACUAAACGCAGAGGGAAGUGAGCAGCGCUCAGUGUAUUAAAAGUGAAUUACAUUUUUGCGGUGCCAAUUCAAGGUCGAAUUGGCACCCAGUAAGAACCCAUUUGUGUAUUGUUCUUACAUUGGGAAUAAGUUUACAAUCCCCCAAGCAGCCAGUUUACCCUAAGAAGGGCUUCCAGCGCCACGCCGCGGGAUCUGAUGGAUUUAUUAUAAAUUAGUAUUCAUCGCUCAACCCGACAAAAGAUCUUUUGGACGUGGAAAUUAAACUCGAUAUUCAUCGCUCAACCCGACAAAAGAUCUUUUGGACGUGGAAAUUAAACUCGAUGUAAGUGAAAAAAAAAA
This is a long non-coding RNA of Drosophila ananassae, 504 nucleotides long. RefSeq lists it as uncharacterized. The transcript has 4 exons. The record is from RefSeq and is a predicted model, not a curated record. NCBI's taxonomy places the organism in Eukaryota, Metazoa, Arthropoda, Insecta, Diptera, Drosophilidae.